RNAcentral lists this ribosomal RNA (468 nucleotides) under uncultured bacterium. RNAcentral's name for it is "partial 16S ribosomal RNA". It matches the Rfam family "Bacterial small subunit ribosomal RNA", at positions 28 to 507 of the family's 1533-position model. The record is from RNAcentral.
GACGAACGCUGGCGGCGUGCUUAACACAUGCAAGUCGAACGGAACGGCCCGGCUUUUGUGGGCUGCUCGAGUGGCGAACGGGUGAGUAACACGUGAGUAACCUGCCCUUGACUUUGGGGUAACUUCAUGACACUGGGGCUAAUACCGGAUAGGAGCUCCUGCUGCAUGGUGGGGGUUGGAAAGUUUCGGCGGUUGGGGAUGGACUCGCGGCUUAUCAGCUUGGUGGUGGGGUAGUGGAUUACCAAGGCUUUGACGGGUGGCCGGGCUGCGAGGGUGACCGGCCACAUUGGGACUGAGAUACGGCCCAGACUCCUACGGGAGGCAGCAGUGGGGAAUAGUGCACAAUGGGCGGAAGCCUGAUGCAGCAACGCCGCGUGCGGGAUGACGGCAUUCGGGUUGUAAACCGCUUUCGCCUGUGACGAAGCGUGAGUGACGGUAAUGGGUAAAGAAGCACCGGCUAACUACGUG